RNAcentral lists this ribosomal RNA (468 nucleotides) under uncultured bacterium. Its description in RNAcentral is "partial 16S ribosomal RNA". It matches the Rfam family "Bacterial small subunit ribosomal RNA", at positions 28 to 507 of the family's 1533-position model. The record is from RNAcentral.
GACGAACGCUGGCGGCGUGCUUAGCACAUGCAAGUCGAACGGAAAGGCCCUGCUUUUGUGGGGUGCUCGAGUGGCGAACGGGUGAGUAACACGUGAGUAACCUGCCCUUGACUUUGGGAUAACUUCAGGAAACUGGGGCUAAUACCGGAUAGGAGCUCCUGCUGCAUGGUGGGGGUUGGAAAGUUUCGGCGGUUGGGGAUGGACUCGCGGCUUAUCAGCUUGUUGGUGGGGUAGUGGCUUACCAAGGCUUUGGCGGGUAGCCGGCCUGAGAGGGUGACCGGCCACAUUGGGACUGAGAUACGGCCCAGACUCCUACGGGAGGCAGCAGUGGGGAAUAUUGCACAAUGGGCGGAAGCCUGAUGCAGCAACGCCGCGUGCGGGAUGACGGCCUUCGGGUUGUAAACCGCUUUCGCCUGUGACGAAGCGUGAGUGACGGUAAUGGGUAAAGAAGCACCGGCUAACUACGUG